Long non-coding RNA from Hyaena hyaena (striped hyena), 818 nucleotides. RefSeq lists it as uncharacterized. The transcript has 3 exons. Lineage: Eukaryota; Metazoa; Chordata; Mammalia; Carnivora; Hyaenidae. The record is from RefSeq and is a predicted model, not a curated record.
AUCAUCUACUUCAGGACCAUGUUUGACUGUGGAUAAUUGAAAUCAAGGAAAUAAAACUACAGAUGAAUAUUACUACCUACCUCUGCUGAAUGGGCACAGAGUUUUGGCUUUGCAAGAUGAGAAGAGUUCUGGGGAUGGAUGGGCAUGACAGUUGCACUACUAUGUGAAUGCACUCAGUACUGCUGGAGUGUACAUUUAAAAAUGGUGUGACUUCAAAGUAUAUUCCUGAAGUUCAAAUCUCAUUUGGAGAGAAUUCUUUGAAGUCAAAGUAAAACCAGAUCUUUUGAGUUUCUGGAUCCAAUUCUAAUGUGUGUAUAAGGCUUCCUGACACCAACAAGCAAUUCUCAGACACCAGAUGGGUGUCCUACAAUUCAACUCCAUUCUGACAUUAACAACCUGGAGAUAGCAUCCAGAUUCCACAGGUUACGGGUUUAGUUCUGCAAGACUGCAUUCCACUUCAGAUGCCAAUCUCAAGCCUACAUUGUUAUCUGUGCUUCUGACCAAAUGGCUAUAAAUCAUAGGUUCCCACGAGCUCCUCCUCUGGUUCAAUUAAUUUGCCACGACAGCUCACUUAGGAACGACAGAACUUAGGAAACCUGUUUCCUUCCUACCAGUUUAUUACACAGGAUGGUAAAGACUACAAAUCAACAGCCAGGUUGAUAAAAGAGUUAAAAAGGACAGGUAUGGGGAAAGGGUAUGGACCUACCAAGCCCCCCAGGUACAUCGAUCUCCCAGCACCUCCAUGUGUUCAACCUCCUGGAAACUCUCCAAACCCUGGCCAGUGGGGUUUUUAUGGAGGUCUCAUUACAUAGACAUGA